RNAcentral lists this ribosomal RNA (203 nucleotides) under uncultured bacterium. RNAcentral describes it as "partial 16S ribosomal RNA". It matches the Rfam family "Bacterial small subunit ribosomal RNA", at positions 328 to 545 of the family's 1533-position model. The record is from RNAcentral.
ACGCUCGACACCUACGGGGGCAGCAGUGGGGAAUAUUGCACAAUGGGGGAAACCCUGAUGCAGCGACGCCGCGUGAGCGAAGAAGUAUUUCGGUAUGUAAAGCUCUAUCAGCAGGGAAGAAACUGACGGUACCUGACUAAGAAGCACCGGCUAAAUACGUGCCAGCACGCCGACGGUAAUCUGAGGCGGGCGUGGACGAAGGC